RNAcentral lists this transfer RNA (72 nucleotides) under Marmota monax (woodchuck). Its description in RNAcentral is "tRNA.Val". Lineage: Eukaryota; Metazoa; Chordata; Mammalia; Rodentia; Sciuridae. The record is from RNAcentral.
AGGUUGUGGUUCAGUGGUAGAGCACUUGCCUCACAUGUAUGAGGCACUGGGUUUGAUCCUCAGAACUACCUA